AUUGGAUGAGCCCGCGGCCUAUCAGCUUGUUGGUGGGGUAACGGCCCACCAAGGCUUCGACGGGUAGUUGGCGUGAGAGCGUGGCCAACCACACUGGGACUGAGACACGGCCCAGACUCCUACGGGAGGCAGCAGUGGGGAAUAUUGCGCAAUGGGCGAAAGCCUGACGCAGCGACGCCGCGUGGGUGAUGGAGGCCUUCGGGUCGUAAAGCCCUGUGGGGAGGGAAGAAGCCUUCGGGCUGACGGUACCUCCUUAGCAAGCACCGGCUAACUACGUGCCAGCAGCCGCGGCCGAAU
This 297-nucleotide ribosomal RNA is filed under the name uncultured actinomycete. RNAcentral's name for it is "partial 16S ribosomal RNA". It matches the Rfam family "Bacterial small subunit ribosomal RNA", at positions 220 to 526 of the family's 1533-position model. Lineage: Bacteria; Bacillati; Actinomycetota; Actinomycetes; Actinomycetales. The record is from RNAcentral.